AGCGGAGGAAAAGAAACUAACAAGGAUUCCCCUAGUAACGGCGAGUGAAGCGGGAAGAGCUCAAAUUUGUAAUCUGGCCCUUUCAGGGUCCGAGUUGUAAUCUCGAGAAGUGUUUUCCGCGCCGGACUGCAUACAAGUCUGUUGGAAUACAGCGUCAUAGUGGUGAGAGCCCCGUAACUGAUGCAGAUGCCCGGUGCUUUGUGAUACACUUUCGAAGAGUCGAGUUGUUUGGGAAUGCAGCUCAAAUUGGGUGGUAAAUUCCAUCUAAAGCUAAAUAUUGGCGAGAGACCGAUAGCGAACAAGUACCGUGAGGGAAAGAUGAAAAGCACUUUGGAAAGAGAGUUAACAGUACGUGAAAUUGUUGGAAGGGAAACGCUUGAAGUCAGACUUGCUAUUCGGAAUUCAGCCGCAAGGUGUACUUUUCGAUUUGCAGGCCAGCAUCAGUUUUUGGGGGUGGAAAAGGGUGGAGAGAAGGUAGCAACCUCGGUUGUGUUAUAGCUCUUUACUGGAUUCAUCUUUGGGGACUGAGGAUCGCAGUGCGCAAUUCAUUUUGCAAACCUUUCGAGGUUUUCGUACUUAGGAUGCUGGUGGAAUGGCUUUAAACGACCCGUCUUG
RNAcentral lists this ribosomal RNA (615 nucleotides) under Glaciozyma antarctica. RNAcentral's name for it is "LSU rRNA". It matches the Rfam family "Eukaryotic large subunit ribosomal RNA", at positions 49 to 656 of the family's 3401-position model. Lineage: Eukaryota; Fungi; Basidiomycota; Microbotryomycetes; Kriegeriales; Camptobasidiaceae. The record is from RNAcentral.